CCUACGGGCGGCUGCAGUGGGGAAUAUUGCACAGUGGGCGCAAGCCUGAUGCAGCCAUGCCGCGUGUGUGAAGAAGGCCUUCGGGUUGUAAAGCACUUUCAGCGGGGAGGAAGGCGGUGAGGUUAAUAACCUCAUCGAUUGACGUUACCCGCAGAAGAAGCACCGGCUAACUCCGUGCCAGCAGCCGCGGUAAUACGGAGGGUGCAAGCGUUAAUCGGAAUUACUGGGCGUAAAGCGCACGCAGGCGGUCUGUCAAGUCGGAUGUGAAAUCCCCGGGCUCAACCUGGGAACUGCAUUCGAAACUGGCAGGCUAGAGUCUUGUAGAGGGGGGUAGAAUUCCAGGUGUAGCGGUGAAAUGCGUAGAGAUCUGGAGGAAUACCGGUGGCGAAGGCGGCCCCCUGGACAAAGACUGACGCUCAGGUGCGAAAGCGUGGGGAGCAAACAGGAUUAGAUACCCUUGUAGUC
This 465-nucleotide ribosomal RNA is filed under the name uncultured Klebsiella sp. RNAcentral describes it as "bacterial SSU rRNA". It matches the Rfam family "Bacterial small subunit ribosomal RNA", at positions 338 to 795 of the family's 1533-position model. The record is from RNAcentral. Lineage: Bacteria; Pseudomonadati; Pseudomonadota; Gammaproteobacteria; Enterobacterales; Enterobacteriaceae.